AUUGAACGCUGGCGGCAGGCUUAACACAUGCAAGUCGAGCGGAGAUGAGGUGCUUGCACCUUAUCUUAGCGGCGGACGGGUGAGUAAUGCUUAGGAAUCUGCCUAUUAGUGGGGGACAACAUUCCGAAAGGAAUGCUAAUACCGCAUACGUCCUACGGGAGAAAGCAGGGGAUCUUCGGACCUUGCGCUAAUAGAUGAGCCUAAGUCGGAUUAGCUAGUUGGUGGGGUAACGGCCUACCAAGGCGACGAUCUGUAGCGGGUCUGAGAGGAUGAUCCGCCACACUGGGACUGGGACACGGCCCAGACUCCUACGGGAGGCAGCAGUGGGGAAUAUUGGACAAUGGGGGGAACCCUGAUCCAGCCAUGCCGCGUGUGUGAAGAAGGCCUUAUGGUUGUAAAGCACUUUAAGCGAGGAGGAGGCUACUGAGACUAAUACUCUUGGAUAGUGGACGUUACUCGCAGAAUAAGCACCGGCUAACUCUGUGCCAGCCGCCGCGGUAA
This 501-nucleotide ribosomal RNA is filed under the name uncultured bacterium. RNAcentral's name for it is "partial 16S ribosomal RNA". It matches the Rfam family "Bacterial small subunit ribosomal RNA", at positions 30 to 523 of the family's 1533-position model. The record is from RNAcentral.